This 253-nucleotide ribosomal RNA is filed under the name uncultured bacterium. RNAcentral's name for it is "partial 16S ribosomal RNA". It matches the Rfam family "Bacterial small subunit ribosomal RNA", at positions 524 to 776 of the family's 1533-position model. The record is from RNAcentral.
UACAGAGGGUGCGAGCGUUAAUCGGAAUUACUGGGCUUAAAGCGCACGUAGGCGGCUUGGUAUGUCGGGUGUGAAAUCCCCGGGCUCAACCUGGGAACUGCAUCCGAAACUGCCUUGCUAGAGUAUGGGAGAGGGAAGUGGAAUUUCCGGUGUAGCGGUGAAAUGCGUAGAUAUCGGAAGGAACAUCAGUGGCGAAGGCGACUUCCUGGACCAAUACUGACGCUCAGGUGCGAAAGCGUGGGGAGCAAACAGG